Molecule: regulatory RNA element, 97 nt
Rfam family: THF (Tetrahydrofolate) riboswitch aptamer
About the family: THF riboswitch presents a pseudoknot that joins P1-P2 and the loop of P3 and two THF binding.
Source: Rfam
UGCAGAGUAGGUUUUGCGCGUCAAGUGUAUAAGGAUGGGAUGUCGCCUUAUAACGAAAAGGCCUUUGGCCUUGCGGUUCAAAACUGCGUCCGCUGCU